Molecule: transfer RNA, 78 nt
Filed under: Allostreptomyces psammosilenae
Lineage: Bacteria; Bacillati; Actinomycetota; Actinomycetes; Kitasatosporales; Streptomycetaceae
Description: tRNA-Leu
Rfam family: tRNA
About the family: Transfer RNA (tRNA) molecules are approximately 80 nucleotides in length. Their secondary structure includes four short double-helical elements and three loops (D, anti-codon, and T loops).
Source: RNAcentral
CCACACGUAGCCCAAUCCGGCAGAGGCGACAGGCUUAGACCCUGUGCGUUGGGGGUUCGAAUCCCUCCGUGUGGACCA